This 70-nucleotide transfer RNA is filed under the name human gut metagenome. It matches the Rfam family "tRNA". From Rfam's summary of the family: Transfer RNA (tRNA) molecules are approximately 80 nucleotides in length. RNAcentral also lists the same sequence under 2 other names. The record is from RNAcentral.
GAGCAUAGCUCAGUUGGGAGAGCAUCUGCCUUACAAGCAGAGGGUCAUAGGUUCGAGCCCUGUUGUUCCC